This 306-nucleotide ribosomal RNA is filed under the name uncultured bacterium. RNAcentral describes it as "partial 16S ribosomal RNA". It matches the Rfam family "Bacterial small subunit ribosomal RNA", at positions 505 to 807 of the family's 1533-position model. The record is from RNAcentral.
GACAGCAGCAGCCGCGGUAAUACAGAGGGUGCGAGCGUUAAUCGGAUUUACUGGGCGUAAAGCGUGCGUAGGCGGCUUCUUAAGUCGGAUGUGAAAUCCCUGAGCUUAACUUAGGAAUUGCAUUCGAUACUGGGAAGCUAGAGUAUGGGAGAGGAUGGUAGAAUUCCAGGUGUAGCGGUGAAAUGCGUAGAGAUCUGGAGGAAUACCGAUGGCGAAGGCAGCCAUCUGGCCUAAUACUGACGCUGAGGUACGAAAGCAUGGGGAGCAAACAGGAUUAGAUACCCGCGUAGUCCCUGUCUCUUAUAC